Oncorhynchus tshawytscha (Chinook salmon) is the source of this 2663-nucleotide long non-coding RNA. The record is from Ensembl. NCBI's taxonomy places the organism in Eukaryota, Metazoa, Chordata, Actinopteri, Salmoniformes, Salmonidae.
CAGAGUAGGAGGCAGUUCACUCUGGGCACACUAUUCAUCCAAAAGUGAAAAUAUUGCCCCCUAUCCCAAAAAGGAUAGCAUUCUCACAUAGGUUUUCCUUUUGUCCAGGUGGGAAAGGCAGUGUGCAAUAGAGAUUUCAUCAUCUGUAGAUCUGUUGGGGAGGUAUGCAAAUUGGAGUGGGUCUAGGGUUUCUGGGAUAAUGGUGUUGAUUUGAGCCAUGACCAGCCUUUCAAAGCACUUCAUGGCUACAAGACGUGAGUGCUACGGGUCGAUAGUCAUUUAGGCACAUUACCUUAGUGCUCCUGGGCACAGGGACUAUGUUGGUCUGUUUGAAACAUGUUGGUAUUACAGACUCCGUCAGGGACAAGUUGAAAAUGUCACUUGCCAGUUGGUGAGCGCAUGCUCGGAGUACACUUCCUGGUAAUCCAUCUGGCCCUGCGGCCUUGUGAAUGUUGACCUGUUUAAAGGUCUUACUCACAUCGGCUACAGAGAGCAUGAUCACACAGUCGUCAAGAACAGCUGAUGCUCUCAUGCAUGCUUCAGUGUUAUUUGCCUCGAAGCGAACAUAGAAGUAAUUUAGCUCAUCUGGUAGGCUCGUGUCACUGGGCAACUCACGGCUGUGCUUCCCUUUGUAGUCUGUAAGAGUUUGCAAGCCCUGCCACAUCCUACGAGUUUCUGAGCCGAUGUAGUACGAUUCAAUCUUAGUCCUGUAUUGACGCUUUGCCUGUUUGAUGGUUCAUAGCGGGAUUUCUUAUAAGCUUCCGGGUUAGAGUCCCGCUCCUUGAAAGCGGCAGCUCUACCGGUUAGCUCUGUGCAGAUGUGGCCUAUAAUCCAUGGCUUCUGGUUGGGGUACAUACGGUCACUGUGGGGACUACGUCCUCAAUGCACAUAUUGAUGUAGCCAGUGACUGAUGUGGUGUACUCCUCAAUGCCAUCGGAAGAAUCCCGGAACAUUUUCCAGUCUAUGCUAGCAAAACAGUCCUGUAGCUUAGCAUCUGCUUCAUCUGACCUCUUUCUUAUUGACCGAGUCACUGGUGCUUCCUGCUUUAGUUUUUAGUUUGUAAGCAGGAAUCAGGAGGAUAGAAUUAUGGUCAGAUUUGACAAAUAGAGGGCGAAGGAGAGCUUUGUACGCAUGUCUGUGUGUGGAGUAAAGGUGGUCUAGAGUUUUUUUGCCCCUCUGGUUGCACAUUUAACAUGCUGGUAGAAAUGAGGUAAAACGGAUUUGAGUUUUCCUGCAUUAAAGUCCCCGGCCAAUAGGAGUGCUGCCUCUAGAUGAGCGUUUUCCUGUUUACUUAUGGCCGUAUACAGCUCAUUGAGUGCGGUCUUUGUGCCAACAUCGGUUUGUGGUGGUCUGUAGACCGCUAUGAAAAAUACAGAUAAACUCUCUUGGUAAAUAGUGUGGUCUACAGCUUAUCAUGAGAUACUCUACCUCAGGCGAGCAAAACCUUGUGACUUCCUUAGAUUUCGUGCAUCAGCUGUUGUUUACAAAUAUACAUAGACCGCCACCCCUGUUCUAUCUUGCCGAAAAAGCUUAAAACCUGGCAUCUGUAUGUUAUUCAUGUCGUCGUUCAGCCACGACUCGGUGAAACAAAAGAUAUGACAUUUUUUAAUGUCCCGUUGGUAGGAUAUCUAUUUUAUUAUGGAUUGAUUGUACGUUGGCUAUUAGGACCAAUUAUCCUCUCGGCAACGGAUCCUAACAAGGCACCCGGAUCUUUGUUUACGAUACCUCCGUCUCUUUCUCCUGCGAAUGACGGGGAUGAGGGCCUUGUCGGGCAUCUGAAGUAAAUCCUUCCUGUCCGACUCGUUGAAGAAAAAGUUUUCCUCCAGUACGGGGUGAGUAAUCGCUGUCCUGAUGUCUAGAAGCUCUUUUCGGUCAUAAGACACAGUGGCAGAAACAUUAUGUACAAAAUAAUUUACAAAUAACGCAAAAAAAAACAUACACAAUAGCACAACUGGUUACGGGUUCGUAAAACGGCAUCUUUUUCGGCGUCUUAUUCUGGUGACGUGAUAAUCGAUGCUUGGCUGCUUUUUGACAAGCAAAAUUAAUCUUGCUCUUUUGUCCAUAAUAAUAAUCUAAUCAGGUAGGCCAGUGGCUCCUUGUGGCGGGCCGGACACCUGCCAGCUGGGCGGUGUUUCCGCUGAGACAUUGGUGUGGCUUCCGGGUUAAGUGAGCACUGUGUCAAGAAGCAGUGCGGAUUGGCAGGGUCGUGAUUCGGAGGACGCAUGGCUCUCGACCUUCGCCUCUCCCAAGUCCGCAGCAGAGGUAACUCUGGGUCUUCCUUUCCUGUGGCGGUCCUCCUGAGAGCCAGUUUCAUAAUAGCGCUUGAUGGGUUUUGCGACUGCACUUGAAGAAACUGUCAAAGUUCUUAAUUUUCCAUAUUGACUGACCUUCAUGCCUUAAAAUAAUGAACUGUCAUUUCUCUUUGCUUAUUUGAGCUGUUCUUGCUGUAAUAUGGACUUGGUAUUUUAUACCAAAUAGGGCUAUCUUCUAUAUACCACCCAUACAUUGUAACAACACAACUAAUUGUCUCAACUCAUUAGGUAAAUACAUUCCACAAAUGAACUUUUAACAAGGCACACCUGUUAAUUGAAAUGCAUUCCAGGUGAUGACCUCAUGAAGCUGGUUGAGAGAAUGCCAAGAGUGUGCAAAGCUAUCAUCAAGGC